RNAcentral lists this long non-coding RNA (283 nucleotides) under Nicotiana benthamiana. RNAcentral describes it as "long non-coding RNA (NBEN_LNC016928)". The record is from RNAcentral. Lineage: Eukaryota; Viridiplantae; Streptophyta; Magnoliopsida; Solanales; Solanaceae.
ACUGCUCAGACUCCUCCUCCCAUAUAUGCUGCAAACUUUGCUGGUAUUAUGUUAACUGAGAACCCUAUUUCUGAUUCCAAACUUUGCUUACUUACUAAUAUUAACUCUGUCACCUGGAUUAUAGAUUCAGGUGCCUCUAAUCACAUCCCUAUUUCUGAUUCCAAACUUUGCUUACUUAUCAAUAUAAACUCUGUCACCUGGAUUAUAGAUUCAGGUGCCUCUAAUCAUAUGACACAUGAUAAACAAUUACUUUUUAACAUCACACCUUUAACUCUGCCAUAUC